RNAcentral lists this ribosomal RNA (253 nucleotides) under uncultured bacterium. RNAcentral describes it as "partial 16S ribosomal RNA". It matches the Rfam family "Bacterial small subunit ribosomal RNA", at positions 524 to 776 of the family's 1533-position model. The record is from RNAcentral.
UACGUAGGGUGCAAGCGUUGUCCGGAAUUAUUGGGCGUAAAGAGCUCGUAGGCGGUCUGUCGCGUCGAAUGUGAAACCCCGAGGCUCAACCUCGGGUCUGCAUUCGAUACGGGCAGACUAGAGUUCGGUAGGGGAGUCUGGAAUUCCUGGUGUAGCGGUGAAGUGCGCAGAUAUCAGGAAGAACACCUAUGGCGAAAGCAGCUCUCUGGGACGGUACUGACGCUGAGACGCGAAAGCGUGGGGAGCGAACAGG